This 368-nucleotide ribosomal RNA is filed under the name uncultured bacterium. RNAcentral describes it as "bacterial SSU rRNA". It matches the Rfam family "Bacterial small subunit ribosomal RNA", at positions 29 to 398 of the family's 1533-position model. The record is from RNAcentral.
AUUGAACGCUGGCGGAAUGCUUUACACAUGCAAGUCGAACGGCAGCACGGGGGCAACCCUGGUGGCGAGUGGCGAACGGGUGAGUAAUACAUCGGAACGUGCCCAGUCGUGGGGGAUAACGCAGCGAAAGCUGUGCUAAUACCGCAUACGAUCUAAGGAUGAAAGCGGGGGACCGAAAGGCCUCGCGCGAUUGGAGCGGCCGAUGGCAGAUUAGGUAGUUGGUGGGGUAAAGGCUCACCAAGCCGACGAUCUGUAGCUGGUCUGAGAGGACGACCAGCCACACUGGGACUGAGACACGGCCCAGACUCCUACGGGAGGCAGCAGUGGGGAAUUUUGGACAAUGGGCGCAAGCCUGAUCCAGCCAUUCC